UGCCCAGGCUCGCUUGUGCCCAGAGAUAAAGUCAUGUCAACACUGUGUAUGAUUCCUUGAGUGUUUUUCCAGCUAUCUGCCACCCCACUGACUCUCCUCCGACCUCAGUUAGAACCUAACAAUUGGCAUCACAAACAGGAUCUUGAGAAAUUAUGAUGCUGUUGUAAAUAUCACCACAAUCAUCAUCAUCACCACCAUCAUCAUUCAUCACAUACUGACUGAUAUGCAGAUCCAAGGAUAGAAACUAAUGUGCUACGACAAUGAGGGUUUCUGAUGUUCUGUGACGCAAUUGGGCCAGUUUCAAUAUUUAUUCUUCCCAUCUUCAAUGAAGAUCUUGCCUUUAAUUGCAUCAAUGACUGCAGCUUUUGUUCCAGGAAGGAAGAUCAUGAAACCAACAACAUUUAUAUCCAGACUGAUGCCAGAGGAGGUAAAAUUUUCCUGAAGGGGGAAUAGAAGUUGUCUGCUUCCCUGACAGAAGGG
RNAcentral lists this long non-coding RNA (480 nucleotides) under Cebus imitator (Panamanian white-faced capuchin). RNAcentral's name for it is "lncRNA (ENSCCAG00000038209.1)". The record is from RNAcentral. Lineage: Eukaryota; Metazoa; Chordata; Mammalia; Primates; Cebidae.